GAGGGUAGAGCUCAGUGGUAGAGCACGUGCUUAGCAUGCACCAGGUCCUGGGUUCAAUCCCCAGUCCCUCCA
Molecule: transfer RNA, 72 nt
Filed under: Camelus dromedarius (Arabian camel)
Lineage: Eukaryota; Metazoa; Chordata; Mammalia; Artiodactyla; Camelidae
Also listed under: 1 other name
Rfam family: tRNA
About the family: Transfer RNA (tRNA) molecules are approximately 80 nucleotides in length.
Source: Rfam by way of RNAcentral